AGCGGCGGACGGGUGAGUAACGCGUGGGUAACCUGCCUUACACAGGGGGAUAACAGUUAGAAAUGACUGCUAAUACCGCAUAACCCGCUAGGGCCGCAUGGCCCGGACGGAAAAGAUUUUAUCGGUGUAGGAUGGACCCGCGUCUGAUUAGCUGGUUGGUGAGGUAACGGCUCACCAAGGCGACGAUCAGUAGCCGACCUGAGAGGGUGAUCGGCCACAUUGGGACUGAGACACGGCCCAAACUCCUACGGAAGGCAGCAG
RNAcentral lists this ribosomal RNA (261 nucleotides) under uncultured bacterium. RNAcentral describes it as "partial 16S ribosomal RNA". It matches the Rfam family "Bacterial small subunit ribosomal RNA", at positions 94 to 354 of the family's 1533-position model. The record is from RNAcentral.